UACAUAUAACGUUAGAUUUGGGACUGC
This 27-nucleotide non-coding RNA is filed under the name Bombyx mori (domestic silkworm). Lineage: Eukaryota; Metazoa; Arthropoda; Insecta; Lepidoptera; Bombycidae. The record is from RNAcentral.